Molecule: long non-coding RNA, 1039 nt
Filed under: Chrysolophus pictus (golden pheasant)
Lineage: Eukaryota; Metazoa; Chordata; Aves; Galliformes; Phasianidae
Description: lncRNA (ENSCPIG00010000377.1)
Source: RNAcentral
AUGAUAUAGUACUGGUUUUAAUGAUAGAAUUGUAUUAGCCUAUAUUCAACCACAUAGUUCUCUCUGAUUUCUGCAGCCUACAGGAUCCCAUCUCUAGCUGAAAUUCCCUCCAGUCUAAACUGCCACUUGCUUUUGCUAUAUUUUACAGGGAAUGGAAUUUGCUGCUUCAGGAUAUAGCAAAUAUCAGAUGCUGUAAGUCUGAACAUCUCCUGCCUUCUCUUGGGAUUUACCGCUACCAGAGACUGGUGGGGAUAGUGACUGCAGAUCCAUGGAUCCCUUCACUCACUCAUCCAUGAGCAUCAACUGUACCCAGAUCUUUCAUUUCCCAUACUCAUAAGGAUCCUGUCAGAUGUAGCUGAAGGGCUGCAUUACCAGCCUUCAGCCUGCUGUCUGCUACUGCAGCCUGAAACCUUCCAACAUCCUUUUGGAUGCACAGUGCAGAGCCAAGAUAACAGUCUAACCAACUGGAGGCAUCAGAAACAGAAGUCAGACCUUCAGAACUGUCAGAGAAAAUGCCAGGAUUUAGUGUACAUCGCUCCUGAAAUACUUGAAAGAGGUCCUUCUUCACAGGAAGUUCUGGUAUACUGUGCUGGGAGAGCAUAGACAGACAGAAACCCUUUGAAGGUAUUUUUCUAUCGCUCACAUCUGAUUUUGUUGCAGCGGUGUUUCCUACAAAUUCCUUUACUAUAGAGAAAUGAUGACACCAACAGCACUGUCUGUUCAAAUAGCCCUCUGCCUUUUGUUACAGUUAGAACACAGUUUGUGUAAAGCAUGAUGUAACAGUUGCCAUAGUCUAAGAAUGAUCCCCCAUCUAUAGUGGUGGGCAUCGAAGAAAGACUUGGUUGCUAUAGGCUCAGUUCUGUAUGACAGAGCUGAUUGAAGGUCUCCUGCAUUUUGCAGUCUGAGAAGUGUAAUAACAUUGUGUAGAACGGUACGGUGCUAUUCACACAGCUUUCACCUACCACUGCCAUCUCGUGGCUGCACCUCUUCUUAGGACUGAUACACACUGUAAGGCUUUAUAUAAAAACCUUGUGAUAUA